GACGAACGCUGGCGGCGUGCUUAACACAUGCAAGUCGAACGGAAAGGCCCUGCUUUUGUGGGGUGCUCGAGUGGCGAACGGGUGAGUAACACGUGAGUAACCUGCCCUUGACUUUGGGAUAACUUCAGGAAACUGGGGCUAAUACCGGAUAGGAGCUCCUGCUGCAUGGUGGGGGUUGGAAGGUUUCGGCGGUUGGGGCUGUACUCGCGGCUUAUCAGCUUGUUGGUGGGGUAGUGGCUUACCAAGGCUUUGACGGGUAGCCGGCCUGAGAGGGUGACCGGCCACAUUGGGACUGAGAUACGGCCAAGACUCCUACGGGAGGCAGCAGUGGGGAAUAUUGCACAAUGGGCGGAAGCCUGAUGCAGUAACGCCGCGUGCGGGAUGACGGGCUUCGGGUUGUAAACCGCUUUGGCCUGUGACGAAGCGUGAGUGACGGUAAUGGGUAAAGAAGCACCGGCUAACUACGUG
RNAcentral lists this ribosomal RNA (468 nucleotides) under uncultured bacterium. RNAcentral describes it as "partial 16S ribosomal RNA". It matches the Rfam family "Bacterial small subunit ribosomal RNA", at positions 28 to 507 of the family's 1533-position model. The record is from RNAcentral.